Molecule: long non-coding RNA, 829 nt
Filed under: Anas platyrhynchos platyrhynchos (common mallard)
Lineage: Eukaryota; Metazoa; Chordata; Aves; Anseriformes; Anatidae
Description: lncRNA (ENSAPLG00000022420.1)
Source: RNAcentral
UUACUUUUGAAUGGGAAACAGCUGGAAAUAACAGUCGAAAUUAAGCCAUUAUUAAAUGCAGUGGUCAGUUUCAAAUUGGUGAGAUAAAAUUUCCUUUUUCACUUUUCCUUUUCUUUUUAACAUUUUUUUUUCUUGUUUUAGCAAGGCAAGUGACUUCUGCUUUUAUGGUAUUAUGGUGUUUAAGUGAAAUUCUUAAAUGUGUUUUAUUUCUGAUCUAAGUCUUUUCUGCUGAGCAUGUUCUGCAAUAUUUAUGUGCUGGUUGUAAUUCUGCCAAUACAUCAGAGUUUUGAUUUUGAUAUAAGUAUUAGGUCAAUUUUUUUUUUUUAAUAUUGUUUUUUAAACUGAGUAGGACACAAAAUCUGCCUGACUUUUAUUGAACCCUCUACAUCAUAUAACUUGAUUCUAUGUUAACUCAGCUCUUUUCCAUAUCAGCUCAGGUGAUAAAGUGCAAGGAGUACAUGCAAAGAGACACAAAUUCAAGCUCUGGAGCUAGUUAAUUCAGUACCAGCUGAAGGACUGCAGCUUGAUCAUGCAUAAUGUCCAUGCAAACAUGUCAACGAUCUGCUAAAUGACUUCUGAAAUGAAAAUAGUGGUUCCCCAGUGCCACAGGCUGUUUGAAACAUUCUCAAGUGAAAACUGGAACCUGUGGGCAGGCAUCUAUCAGUCAUGACCUGUGGUGCCAGAUUACUCUCCUUUCCUGGUUGUCUCUUAGACAUGAAGCAAAAACAGAUACAAAUACGAAGAGAACAGCUGCUCCAGUUGUAGAGCUAUAACGACACACUUUAGUAAUUCCAUUACCUAUUGGCUCUAAAACUUGUUCUUGCACAGA